This 253-nucleotide ribosomal RNA is filed under the name uncultured bacterium. RNAcentral's name for it is "partial 16S ribosomal RNA". It matches the Rfam family "Bacterial small subunit ribosomal RNA", at positions 524 to 776 of the family's 1533-position model. The record is from RNAcentral.
UACGGAGGGUGCAAGCGUUAUCCGGAUUCACUGGGUUUAAAGGGUGCGUAGGUGGGCAGGUAAGUCAGUGGUGAAAUCUCCGGGCUUAACCCGGAAACUGCCAUUGAUACUAUUUGUCUUGAAUACUGUGGAGGUCAGCGGAAUAUGUCAUGUAGCGGUGAGAUGCUUAGAUAUGACAUAGAACGCCAAUUGCGAAGGCAGCUGGCUACACAAAUAUUGACACUGAGGCACGAAAGCGUGGGGAUCAAACAGG